UACAAAGCAUUCUCUGUGGGUUUUCAUGCA
This 30-nucleotide non-coding RNA is filed under the name Mus musculus (house mouse). Lineage: Eukaryota; Metazoa; Chordata; Mammalia; Rodentia; Muridae. The record is from RNAcentral.